CCUCCAGCGUACUCCCAGUAUUCGGUGAACUGUUGCGCUGUUAGCUUUAUAUCAUUAGGGCGCAAUAUUUUCCAAUAGUUUUCUUCGACACAAAGAAACCGUUUGGUGCACAUAUUCACCAUCAUCAUGCCUGCGAUCUACAAAUCGGUCCUCACCAAUGAAGCAAAUAAAAUUACCUACACACCUUGUGCAUCACUCGCCGUCCGCAUUACCACUCUGUUAUUGGUGAUUGUGCUGGUGAUAUUAAUAGGAAUUUUGUGUUUCCUUCUAUGGCCUCGUUCAAAUGAAACAGUGGACUGUCCCUUGGAAUGUCCCCGGAACGCCCUUUGGAAUGCCCCUCAGUUAUCGUACAAGAUAAAACAAGUAUGAGCAUCGCGUUCCUCAGACACAGGGAGGAUAUGUUUUUGGUAGCCCCAGGAAGAAAAGGCAUCCCAUUCAGCGCAGUGUUCAACGAAAGUGACGCUGAUGCGGGUUCUUCGCCGAUUGAUUCGAUCGUGAUGCAAAUUGCAAACCAUGAAUUUCGGAAUAGUCAGUACUCUGAUGUUUUCGGUUAUGUUUCAGUUCACGGUCAAGGGAAAAUCGUACCGGCCGACACCGAGAAAUGGAUGUGGGACGAUUUAGAGGUCAGUAAGUUUGUUGUGAAAGUAUCUUACGUUGGGGGCCUAUUCGUGUUGGAUACGCAUGGAGUGGUUGGAGUUCAAUCAGACAGUGGUCCCGAGGGUACCGAUAAACUGUUCGAUACUCUGAGGGAGGUGCAGAAAAUUUUGCCGGAUACGUCGAAGCCUUCAGAAGAACGGGACUAGUUUGAUCAAGUAUAUUAUUAAUUAUACUCACGGAAAAAUUUAUCCAAAAACAUUUUAGAGAAAUCAAUCCAUGAAAAACUAUUAUCAACACUUGAACAAAAAAUAUUGAGAUUUGAGGUAAUUACAACAAAGAAGUCACUUCUCCUUUGUGUGAAAUGUUUUCAUAAAUUGGAAAAUCAAUCUGCAACAUAAAUUAGACUCGCCUCAAUGAUAAACUCAACCGAUAAGCAAUCGUCAAACGGAUUACUCUGGCACUCAGUAAUAUGAAGGGCUUAUACACAGUUCAGCAAUCGCGCCAACGAAGCAAAUGGAUAAUUCUACUGCUCCUACUGGUGGUUUUGUUCCUAAUAACGACUACAAUCGUCCUAUGGCUCUAUCCGGUUUGUCAAUUUCCUGAUCCCCGAGCGACGACGGAAGCCUACGCUAGUACAAGUAACGACAAUGAGUCAAUCGAAACUGCAGUCCCGGCGCCGGAAUCGAAAGGAAAGUUGAAUGGAUGUUAAUAGUUAGGUGUGUAAAUAUAUUAUUUUUUAAAUUUAUGUGUUAUAGAAAAAUCCACUGAAAAUUACGCUGAAAAUAAUGCACAUAAAUGGAACGCCAUUUUUAGCUCCACACUGGAUAUAGCCUAAAUGUAUACAAUAUUUGACGUGAAU
Molecule: long non-coding RNA, 1456 nt
Organism: Armigeres subalbatus
Lineage: Eukaryota; Metazoa; Arthropoda; Insecta; Diptera; Culicidae
Exons: 3
Source: RefSeq, a predicted model, not a curated record